This 940-nucleotide small RNA is filed under the name Pan troglodytes (chimpanzee). RNAcentral's name for it is "processed transcript". The record is from RNAcentral. Lineage: Eukaryota; Metazoa; Chordata; Mammalia; Primates; Hominidae.
CGCGGCCGGGGCAGUCCCGCAGCCGAGCGCAGCCGGGCGCGCGCCACCGCCCACUCGCCCUGUGCCCGCCGCAGCCCGAAACUGGCCACGGCCGGGAGCGGAGGGGACAGCGGGGAUCGUGAGCUCCGGCCCGAGCGAGCGGGUGCGUCUGCCGCGGAGUCGGCACCUGAAGGACAUGGAGACAGGGUCUUGCUCUGUUGCCCAGGCUGGAGUGCAGUGGCACAAUCAUGGCUCACUGCAGCCUCAACCCUCCAGGGCUUAAGUGAUCCUCUCACCUCAUCCUCCUGAGUAGCUGGGACUAUAGGCGUGCACCACCACGCCCAGAGACGCACCAAGACGCUACCAAAUGCAAAUUAAUAAGACCAAUCCUGGCCGGGUGCAAUGGCUCACUCCUGUAAUCUCAGCACUUUGGGAGGCCGAGGCAGGUGGAUCACAGAAGGUCGGGAGUUUGAGACCACCCUGACCAACAUGAAGAAACCCCGUCUCUACUAAAAAUACAAAAUUAGCCGGGCGUGGUGGUGCAUGCCUGUAAUCCCAGAUACUCAGGAGGCUGAGGCAGGAGAAUCGCUUGAACCUGGGAGGCGAAGUUUGCAGUGAGCCGAGAUCGCGCCAUUGCACUCCAGCCUGGUCAACAAGAGUGAAACUCUGUCUCAAAAAAAUAAGAAUAAGACACCAUCCUUGCCCUCAAGAUUCAUACAGUCUGAAGGUAAAGAGGGGACAUAAAUGAAAGAAGUAAUUACAAAACAGUGUGAUUGGUUCUGAAAAGGCAGUGAGUAAACAGUCCUGUUGCAUAAAUAACAGGACAGGCUAGUGUUGCUGUAACCAUGCCACAAUCUUAGUGGCUGAAAACAACAAAGGUUUACUUUUCACCCCUGCUGCAAGUCCAUUGAGGGUUGGCUGGGGGCUCUGCUCUGGCUCAUUUCUUGUCCUCCCUCUGAGA